Molecule: ribosomal RNA, 736 nt
Filed under: uncultured Fusobacterium sp.
Lineage: Bacteria; Fusobacteriati; Fusobacteriota; Fusobacteriia; Fusobacteriales; Fusobacteriaceae
Description: bacterial SSU rRNA
Rfam family: Bacterial small subunit ribosomal RNA
Source: RNAcentral
GAUGAACGCUGACAGAAUGCUUAACACAUGCAAGUCUACUUGAAUUUGGGUUUUUAACUUAGAUUUGGGUGGCGGACGGGUGAGUAACGCGUAAAGAACUUGCCUCACAGCUAGGGACAACAUUUAGAAAUGAAUGCUAAUACCUAAUAUUAUGAUAAUAGGGCAUCCUAUAAUUAUGAAAGCUAUAAGCGCUGUGAGAGAGCUUUGCGUCCCAUUAGCUAGUUGGAGAGGUAACGGCUCACCAAGGCGAUGAUGGGUAGCCGGCCUGAGAGGGUGAUCGGCCACAAGGGGACUGAGACACGGCCCUUACUCCUACGGGAGGCAGCAGUGGGGAAUAUUGGACAAUGGACCGAGAGUCUGAUCCAGCAAUUCUGUGUGCACGAUGAAGUUUUUCGGAAUGUAAAGUGCUUUCAGUUGGGAAGAAAGAAAUGACGGUACCAACAGAAGAAGUGACGGCUAAAUACGUGCCAGCAGCCGCGGUAAUACGUAUGUCACGAGCGUUAUCCGGAUUUAUUGGGCGUAAAGCGCGUCUAGGUGGUUAUAUAAGUCUGAUGUGAAAAUGCAGGGCUCAACUCUGUAUUGCGUUGGAAACUGUAUAACUAGAGUACUGGAGAGGUAAGCGGAACUACAAGUGUAGAGGUGAAAUUCGUAGAUAUUUGUAGGAAUGCCGAUGGGGAAGCCAGCUUACUGGACAGAUACUGACGCUGAAGCGCGAAAGCGUGGGGUAGCAAACAGG